Molecule: ribosomal RNA, 2927 nt
Filed under: Escherichia coli
Lineage: Bacteria; Pseudomonadati; Pseudomonadota; Gammaproteobacteria; Enterobacterales; Enterobacteriaceae
Description: partial 23S ribosomal RNA
Rfam family: Bacterial large subunit ribosomal RNA
Source: RNAcentral
GGGUUGUGAGGUUAAGCGACUAAGCGUACACGGUGGAUGCCCUGGCAGUCAGAGGCGAUGAAGGACGUGCUAAUCUGCGAUAAGCGUCGGUAAGGUGAUAUGAACCGUUAUAACCGGCGAUUUCCGAAUGGGGAAACCCAGUGUGAUUCGUCACACUAUCAUUAACUGAAUCCAUAGGUUAAUGAGGCGAACCGGGGGAACUGAAACAUCUAAGUACCCCGAGGAAAAGAAAUCAACCGAGAUUCCCCCAGUAGCGGCGAGCGAACGGGGAGCAGCCCAGAGCCUGAAUCAGUGUGUGUGUUAGUGGAAGCGUCUGGAAAGGCGCGCGAUACAGGGUGACAGCCCCGUACACAAAAAUGCACAUGCUGUGAGCUCGAUGAGUAGGGCGGGACACGUGGUAUCCUGUCUGAAUAUGGGGGGACCAUCCUCCAAGGCUAAAUACUCCUGACUGACCGAUAGUGAACCAGUACCGUGAGGGAAAGGCGAAAAGAACCCCGGCGAGGGGAGUGAAAAAGAACCUGAAACCGUGUACGUACAAGCAGUGGGAGCACAGAGCAAUCUGUGUGACUGCGUACCUUUUGUAUAAUGGGUCAGCGACUUAUAUUCUGUAGCAAGGUUAACCGAAUAGGGGAGCCGAAGGGAAACCGAGUCUUAACUGGGCGUUAAGUUGCAGGGUAUAGACCCGAAACCCGGUGAUCUAGCCAUGGGCAGGUUGAAGGUUGGGUAACACUAACUGGAGGACCGAACCGACUAAUGUUGAAAAAUUAGCGGAUGACUUGUGGCUGGGGGUGAAAGGCCAAUCAAACCGGGAGAUAGCUGGUUCUCCCCGAAAGCUAUUUAGGUAGCGCCUCGUGAAUUCAUCUCCGGGGGUAGAGCACUGUUUCGGCAAGGGGGUCAUCCCGACUUACCAACCCGAUGCAAACUGCGAAUACCGGAGAAUGUUAUCACGGGAGACACACGGCGGGUGCUAACGUCCGUCGUGAAGAGGGAAACAACCCAGACCGCCAGCUAAGGUCCCAAAGUCAUGGUUAAGUGGGAAACGAUGUGGGAAGGCCCAGACAGCCAGGAUGUUGGCUUAGAAGCAGCCAUCAUUUAAAGAAAGCGUAAUAGCUCACUGGUCGAGUCGGCCUGCGCGGAAGAUGUAACGGGGCUAAACCAUGCACCGAAGCUGCGGCAGCGACGCUUAUGCGUUGUUGGGUAGGGGAGCGUUCUGUAAGCCUGCGAAGGUGUGCUGUGAGGCAUGCUGGAGGUAUCAGAAGUGCGAAUGCUGACAUAAGUAACGAUAAAGCGGGUGAAAAGCCCGCUCGCCGGAAGACCAAGGGUUCCUGUCCAACGUUAAUCGGGGCAGGGUGAGUCGACCCCUAAGGCGAGGCCGAAAGGCGUAGUCGAUGGGAAACAGGUUAAUAUUCCUGUACUUGGUGUUACUGCGAAGGGGGGACGGAGAAGGCUAUGUUGGCCGGGCGACGGUUGUCCCGGUUUAAGCGUGUAGGCUGGUUUUCCAGGCAAAUCCGGAAAAUCAAGGCUGAGGCGUGAUGACGAGGCACUACGGUGCUGAAGCAACAAAUGCCCUGCUUCCAGGAAAAGCCUCUAAGCAUCAGGUAACAUCAAAUCGUACCCCAAACCGACACAGGUGGUCAGGUAGAGAAUACCAAGGCGCUUGAGAGAACUCGGGUGAAGGAACUAGGCAAAAUGGUGCCGUAACUUCGGGAGAAGGCACGCUGAUAUGUAGGUGAAGUCCCUCGCGGAUGGAGCUGAAAUCAGUCGAAGAUACCAGCUGGCUGCAACUGUUUAUUAAAAACACAGCACUGUGCAAACACGAAAGUGGACGUAUACGGUGUGACGCCUGCCCGGUGCCGGAAGGUUAAUUGAUGGGGUUAGCGCAAGCGAAGCUCUUGAUCGAAGCCCCGGUAAACGGCGGCCGUAACUAUAACGGUCCUAAGGUAGCGAAAUUCCUUGUCGGGUAAGUUCCGACCUGCACGAAUGGCGUAAUGAUGGCCAGGCUGUCUCCACCCGAGACUCAGUGAAAUUGAACUCGCUGUGAAGAUGCAGUGUACCCGCGGCAAGACGGAAAGACCCCGUGAACCUUUACUAUAGCUUGACACUGAACAUUGAGCCUUGAUGUGUAGGAUAGGUGGGAGGCUUUGAAGUGUGGACGCCAGUCUGCAUGGAGCCGACCUUGAAAUACCACCCUUUAAUGUUUGAUGUUCUAACGUUGACCCGUAAUCCGGGUUGCGGACAGUGUCUGGUGGGUAGUUUGACUGGGGCGGUCUCCUCCUAAAGAGUAACGGAGGAGCACGAAGGUUGGCUAAUCCUGGUCGGACAUCAGGAGGUUAGUGCAAUGGCAUAAGCCAGCUUGACUGCGAGCGUGACGGCGCGAGCAGGUGCGAAAGCAGGUCAUAGUGAUCCGGUGGUUCUGAAUGGAAGGGCCAUCGCUCAACGGAUAAAAGGUACUCCGGGGAUAACAGGCUGAUACCGCCCAAGAGUUCAUAUCGACGGCGGUGUUUGGCACCUCGAUGUCGGCUCAUCACAUCCUGGGGCUGAAGUAGGUCCCAAGGGUAUGGCUGUUCGCCAUUUAAAGUGGUACGCGAGCUGGGUUUAGAACGUCGUGAGACAGUUCGGUCCCUAUCUGCCGUGGGCGCUGGAGAACUGAGGGGGGCUGCUCCUAGUACGAGAGGACCGGAGUGGACGCAUCACUGGUGUUCGGGUUGUCAUGCCAAUGGCACUGCCCGGUAGCUAAAUGCGGAAGAGAUAAGUGCUGAAAGCAUCUAAGCACGAAACUUGCCCCGAGAUGAGUUCUCCCUGACUCCUUGAGAGUCCUGAAGGAACGUUGAAGACGACGACGUUGAUAGGCCGGGUGUGUAAGCGCAGCGAUGCGUUGAGCUAACCGGUACUAAUGAACCGUGAGGCUUAACCUUACAACGCCGAAG